Molecule: long non-coding RNA, 1649 nt
Filed under: Pan troglodytes (chimpanzee)
Lineage: Eukaryota; Metazoa; Chordata; Mammalia; Primates; Hominidae
Description: long non-coding RNA NONPTRT015474
Source: RNAcentral
CGGAGGGUAUGUUUUAAAAAACAGGCAUGAUGAAGUAAAAGGAGAACUGGUUGCUAGAAUAUCUGGGUCCUACUCCUGGGAAGCAGCUGUAAAGAGCGCUGUCAGAUCGCGUUUGAAUGCCAGCUUUGCCAUUUGCCGAGUUUCUGAGCAUUUUAGUCAACCACCUACCACUCCUACUCAGUUUCCCUACUUGGGAAGUCAGAGCAACACUCAUUUAAGGAAGAGGAUGUGUGGAUGAAAUGAGCUACUAAAUAAGUCUUUAUAUAAUAGUUUUCUUUUCCUCAGCUUUUCAGGUCACUGAUUUCAAGACUUUGGGCCUGUUUCUCGCCUGUAGAAUGAGAGAACUUCACUUUAAUACUGGGGUUAAAUAACUCGUUACUACGGGACCCAAAGCGGACAACCAAGGCAUGUUUUACAGAGAAGCGAUUACAACGAGGAAACGAGGUUUGCAAAAAUAAGUAAUUUCAGAAGAGAAGGAAACCAGCAGAUUAGUUUUGUCUGCGUCCGUCACGUCUGAGUAAACUAAGAAAUCUGAAGGUAGAUGUGGGAGUGGUGUUUAUAAUUUCCCUUACGUAAGCACGGCUAGAACGGAGGCGACGGGCACUGGAAUUCAGAACUCAGCAUUUGAAAACACUGUUUCCGUGCCAUAAAAGAGCGCCAAAAUGGGGCUACAACGGCUAAAGAAUUUCCAAAAAGUUCCUUGUGCAAAAUAAAAGAGUCGGGAGCGCAGUGAUCGGAGGCUUUCCGUCCUUUUUCAUCCCCCGUUAUCCAGGCGGGGUCCCUCCCUCCAGCUACGGACUUGGGAGCCCAUGACUGCGAACCCGCACACCUUUUCCAGCCUCCCUACGAAGCAGACAGGCUUGUCGAUGAACUGAGCUAGCAUGCCGGCGUUGAUGCGCGACCUGGGCAAGUCCAUCAUGUCCACCAUGAUUAUGGUCCAAGACUGCGGCUGGCGGGAAACCCACGGACGACUGAAACUGUGCGCCCCGCGGGUGUCUAUGGGGCAGAUUCCUCGGCACCAAUCAGCGAAGACUAGCGCUCCAGCUUCGCCAAUUAAAUGCGCGGAAACCUAAAUCGCAAGGGGUGGAGAAGGGGCUGGAUGAGUCCGGAAGUGGAGAUUGGCUGCUUAGUGACGCGCGGCGUCCCGGAAGUUGACAGAUACAGCGCGAGAGGCAGUGGAGGCGGGACUUGGAUAGGGGCGGAACCUGAGACUACCUUUCUGCGAUCACAGGAUUCCCGGCGGUGACUUGACCCCGGAAGUGGGGUGUGAAGCUCCGGUGCUGGUGCGGCGGGGGACUGCGGCGCCAGCCUCAGUUUAAACCCCCUCAGCAGUCUUUCUGUCGUUGCCCUCCACACUGCGAGACUCUGGAGGGCGAUCUGGAGGUCUGGAAGACAACCGAUUCCUGGGAGAUUUGGGGGUAGUCUCCAAUCUGUCCCUGGCUCAUCUUGUGACCCGAAGCCGGCGGCCUUGCCAGGAAUAUUCUAGAAUGAGUGCACAUAAAAAUACCUUCAAACGGUACGGUGGAAAUUGGACAGAAGUUUUAAUUGGGUAUUAUAACGUUGUGGAAACUGAGUCUGUGAAUUGGCCCAAAGCUACAGAAUUGUCAUCGUUCAAAUUCCCUUAAGCAAAAAAGAUCCAUUUUGAGACU